Molecule: long non-coding RNA, 232 nt
Organism: Parus major (Great Tit)
Lineage: Eukaryota; Metazoa; Chordata; Aves; Passeriformes; Paridae
Exons: 2
Source: RefSeq, a predicted model, not a curated record
GGGGUCCCGCCGGGGCACCCGGCUCCUUGUCGCUGCGCCCGUGUGGUGUGAGGGAGGCGGAGCAGCCCCGGCCGGCCCUCAAGCCGAGCCCUGAAGGAGCCCUUGCGGAUGGAGAUGCCGGAUUCCAAGGAAUUAAUGUAUAGAAGAAUUCUGGAGAACCGAAUAUCAGCUUGUCACCGAAAUGUGACCUCUAAAGAAGUUUCUGGGGAAAAUAAACCCUUUUUUGAUUUCA